Poecilia reticulata (guppy) is the source of this 323-nucleotide long non-coding RNA. RefSeq lists it as uncharacterized. The record is from RefSeq and is a predicted model, not a curated record. Lineage: Eukaryota; Metazoa; Chordata; Actinopteri; Cyprinodontiformes; Poeciliidae.
AAUCUGYGUGGAACAGAAUCAACCACCCAACCUCCUACAACUACUAYGCCAGCACCAUCAACAACACAAAACAGCACAGACAACAGCACUGGAACUUCAGAUGGCACACCAACCUCAACCCCAACUGAUGCACCAACCACAUUCAACCAAACUGAUGAAACUGGUUCACCAUCCACAGCCACCUCAAACUCAACCAUAAUCAUUCCCACGUCGGCACCGGCCUCGUCAGGGCUGUCCGGAGGGGCGAUAGCCGGCAUCACCAUCGGUAGCAUCGCCGGGGCGGGCUUAUUGGGUGGCGGCGUCUACGGUCUGCUGAAAUACAC